CGGAGUAUAGCGCAGCCCGGUUAGCGCACAUGUCUGGGGGACAUGGGGUCGCAGGUUCAAAUCCUGCUACUCCGA
Molecule: transfer RNA, 75 nt
Filed under: Allobosea thiooxidans
Lineage: Bacteria; Pseudomonadati; Pseudomonadota; Alphaproteobacteria; Hyphomicrobiales; Alloboseaceae
Description: Bosea thiooxidans tRNA
Rfam family: tRNA
About the family: Transfer RNA (tRNA) molecules are approximately 80 nucleotides in length.
Source: Rfam by way of RNAcentral